UACAGAGGGGGCAAGCGUUGUUCGGAAUUACUGGGCGUAAAGGGCGCGUAGGCGGCCUGUUAAGUCGAACGUGAAAUCCCCGGGCUCAACCCGGGAACUGCGUCCGAUACUGGCAGGCUUGAAUUCGGGAGAGGGAUGCGGAAUUCCAGGUGUAGCGGUGAAAUGCGUAGAUAUCUGGAGGAACACCGGUGGCGAAGGCGGCAUCCUGGACCGACACUGACGCUGAUGCGCGAAAGCUAGGGGAGCAAACGGG
RNAcentral lists this ribosomal RNA (253 nucleotides) under uncultured bacterium. Its description in RNAcentral is "partial 16S ribosomal RNA". It matches the Rfam family "Bacterial small subunit ribosomal RNA", at positions 524 to 776 of the family's 1533-position model. The record is from RNAcentral.